GCCCAAAUACCUCAGAUGGGAGAGCGUUAGACUGAAGAUCUAAAGGUCCCUGGUUUGAUCCCGGGGUUCGGCA
This is a non-coding RNA of Takifugu rubripes (torafugu), 73 nucleotides long. Lineage: Eukaryota; Metazoa; Chordata; Actinopteri; Tetraodontiformes; Tetraodontidae. The record is from Rfam.